AUCUAAUGUAGUCUUGGGGUGGCUGGAUAGACUUCCCAAAGAAGGUGAUGCCGAAGCUGAGGUCGGAAAUUACGAAGAUCAGCUAUGAAGGCCUGAGGAGAGAAGACACAUAGUCAUGCUGACUAAACCAGAUCACCUAGAAUUACCAAAUGGAAAGCAUCUACUUGUUUCCAAAGUUAUUUGGGUCAGCAUUUUCCUCCACCCACCACUUAAAACUGAUUUGUUUCAUACAUUUGAAAUGUAUGAAAAGCCAGAAAUCCAGGACCCACCCUGGCCUGCUCCCUUUUUCUCACCUACUGUGUUAAGAAUCAUAAUGAAUGUCUUAGUCUAACUCCAAGCUCUCCACUUGUGAUAUGAUGUACUGACUCUUCAAAAGAAGGAAGACUAACAAGGUCAUGAAAACCAAGGAGAGACUGAGAAACCUCUACAGACUACAGGAGAAUGGAGAAACAUGACAACUAAAUGUAAUAUGGCACCCUGGAUUGGAUCCUUGGACAGAGAGAUGACGUUAAAGAAAAAAUUCAUAUAAAGCGUGGAGUUUAGUUCAGAGCGAUGUACCAAUGUCAAUUUCUUAGUUUGAACAAGUGUGUCAUGGUGAGGUAAAAUAUUUAUAGUGGGGGAAACUAGGUGAGGGGUAUCAGGGAACACUCAGCAAUGUCGGCAAAUUGUUUUGUAAUUGUUAAACUCUCCUAAAAUAAAAAUGUUAUGAUAAAAAGGAGGCUAUGUUGGAAAA
Molecule: long non-coding RNA, 733 nt
Filed under: Homo sapiens (human)
Lineage: Eukaryota; Metazoa; Chordata; Mammalia; Primates; Hominidae
Description: CCDC26 long non-coding RNA
Source: RNAcentral